GCGCCCCAGAAAUGGUGCGUGUCCGGGGCGUUGCGUCGUAUUCUUUAUGUCAAAACGACUCUCGGCAACGGAUAUCUCGGCUCUCGCAUCGAUGAAGAACGUAGCGAAAUGCGAUACUUGGUGUGAAUUGCAGAAUCCCGUGAACCAUCGAGUCUUUGAACGCA
This 164-nucleotide ribosomal RNA is filed under the name Rhamnus parvifolia. RNAcentral's name for it is "5.8S ribosomal RNA". The stretch from base 57 to 164 matches the Rfam family "5.8S ribosomal RNA", at positions 1 to 108 of the family's 154-position model. Rfam says of the family: 5.8S ribosomal RNA (5.8S rRNA) is a component of the large subunit of the eukaryotic ribosome. It is transcribed by RNA polymerase I as part of the 45S precursor that also contains 18S and 28S rRNA. Lineage: Eukaryota; Viridiplantae; Streptophyta; Magnoliopsida; Rosales; Rhamnaceae. RNAcentral also lists the same sequence under 3 other names. The record is from RNAcentral.